UACAGAGGGUGCGAGCGUUGUCCGGAAUCACUGGGCGUAAAGGGCGCGUAGGCGGUCUGGUAAGCGUGUGGUGAAAGCCCGGGGCUCAACCCCGGGUCGGCCGUGCGAACUGCUGGACUGGAGCAGAUCAGAGGCAGGCGGAAUUCCGGGUGUAGCGGUGGAAUGCGUAGAGAUCCGGAAGAACACCGGUGGCGAAGGCGGCCCGCUGGGCAGUGACUGACGCUGAGGCGCGACAGCGUGGGGAGCAAACAGG
This 253-nucleotide ribosomal RNA is filed under the name uncultured bacterium. Its description in RNAcentral is "partial 16S ribosomal RNA". It matches the Rfam family "Bacterial small subunit ribosomal RNA", at positions 524 to 776 of the family's 1533-position model. The record is from RNAcentral.